GGGGAACCUGCGGCUGGAUCACCUCCUUUCUAAGGAUGCUGUCCGAUGUGAUGCUCGCUUGCGAGCCGCUCACUCUCACGGCGUCGUUGGAUCACGGGUCCAGUCAGGACCCAUUUGGCGGGACGCGCCGUCUUCGUUUCUCUUUCUUAUCAUCCGGACACGCUGGGCAGUACGCCAAGCGACGGGCCUGUAGCUCAGGUGGUUAGAGCGCACCCCUGAUAAGGGUGAGGUCGGACGUUCGAGUCGUCCCAGGCCCACCAUGGUCAGACGGUGAUCUCACCGCUGGAGCACAUCCCACUCGGGGCUGUAGCUCAGUUGGGAGAGCGCGUGCUUUGCAAGCAUGAGGUCGUCGGUUCGAUCCCGUCCAGCUCCACCACCCUCCCCUGCCGAACGCGGCAAGGUCGCAGGGUCGUCCGGAUCAAAGAGCUUCGCACCAUCGACGCAUUUGCGGGUGGCUGCGGAUAUCUGACAUCGUGAAGAGGGAAUGUGCCCUGGCCGUUGCGAAAGCGGCCGGCCGGGGUGCGUUCGGCAAGCAUAAGGCAGUCACUGCGAAAGUGGUGGCUGCCGGUCUUUAUCGUGACCGUGGAUGGUGGUGAUGACAGCUAUGGCUGUCGGUCACCGCCGGACACCGAUCAUGAGAGCGAUCAAGUGCCUUAAGAGCAUCU
RNAcentral lists this transfer RNA (665 nucleotides) under uncultured bacterium. Its description in RNAcentral is "partial contains 16S rRNA, ITS and 23S rRNA". The stretch from base 184 to 257 matches the Rfam family "tRNA". The record is from RNAcentral.